RNAcentral lists this ribosomal RNA (361 nucleotides) under uncultured bacterium. RNAcentral describes it as "bacterial SSU rRNA". It matches the Rfam family "Bacterial small subunit ribosomal RNA", at positions 1 to 334 of the family's 1533-position model. The record is from RNAcentral.
GUGAGUAGUUCUAGAGUUUGUAGUCCUGGCGUCAGGAUGAACGCUGGCGGCGUGCUUAACACAUGCAAGUCGAACGAAGUGCUCUUGUUCAAUCCCUUCGGGGUGCGAACUUGAGUAUCUUAGUGGCGGACGGGUGAGUAACGCGUGGGUAACCUGCCUUAUGCAGGGGGAUAACAGUUAGAAAUGACUGCUAAUACCGCAUAAGCGCACAGUAUCGCAUGAUACAGUGUGAAAAGAUUUAUCAGCAUAAGAUGGACCCGCGUCUGAUUAGCUAGUUGGUGAGGUAACAGCUCACCAAGGCGACGAUCAGUAGCCGACUUGAGAGAGUGAUCGGCCACAUUGGGACUGAGACACGGCCCAA